This 460-nucleotide ribosomal RNA is filed under the name uncultured bacterium. RNAcentral describes it as "partial 16S ribosomal RNA". It matches the Rfam family "Bacterial small subunit ribosomal RNA", at positions 338 to 795 of the family's 1533-position model. The record is from RNAcentral.
CCUACGGGAGGCUGCAGUGAGGAAUAAUUGUCAAUGGGCGCUAGCCUGAACGUGCCAAGUAGCGUGAAGGAUUGCUGCUCUUUGGGUUGUAAACUCCUUUUAUAUGGGAAUAAAUUGCAGUAUGUAUACUGCUAUGCAUGUACCUUACGAAUAAGGCUCGGCCAACCCCGUGACUGCAGCCGUGGUAAUACGGAGGCGCCGAGCGUUAGCCGGAAUUAUUGGGUUGAAUGGGAGCGUAGGCGGGUUGUUAAGCGGGUUGUGAAAGUGUGCGGAUCAACCGUAAAAUUGCAGUUGAUACUGGCAUCCUUGAGUACAGUAGAGGUAGGCGGAAUUCGUGGUGUAGCAGUGAAAUGCUUAGAUAUCACGAAGAACACCGAUUGCGAAGGCAGCCUGCUGGACUGUAACUGACGCUGAUGCUCGAAAGUGUGGGUAGCAAACAGGAUUAGAUACCCUUGUAGUC